UACGUAGGGGGCAAGCGUUGUUCGGAUUUACUGGGCGUAAAGGGCGCGUAGGCGGCGUGACAAGUCACUUGUGAAAUCUCCGGGCUUAACUCGGAACUGCCAAGUGAUACUGUCGUGCUAGAGUGCAGAAGGGGCAAUCGGAAUUCUUGGUGUAGCGGUGAAAUGCGUAGAUAUCAAGAGGAACACCUGAGGUGAAGACGGGUUGCUGGGCUGACACUGACGCUGAGUGCGCGAAAGCUAGGGGAGCAAACGGG
RNAcentral lists this ribosomal RNA (254 nucleotides) under uncultured bacterium. Its description in RNAcentral is "partial 16S ribosomal RNA". It matches the Rfam family "Bacterial small subunit ribosomal RNA", at positions 524 to 776 of the family's 1533-position model. The record is from RNAcentral.